This 640-nucleotide ribosomal RNA is filed under the name uncultured bacterium. Its description in RNAcentral is "bacterial SSU rRNA". It matches the Rfam family "Bacterial small subunit ribosomal RNA", at positions 202 to 842 of the family's 1533-position model. The record is from RNAcentral.
GAAAGAUUCAUCGGAAGAGGAUGGGCAUGCGGCGCAUUAGCUAGACGGCGGGGUAACGGCCCACCGUGGCGACGAUGCGUAGGGGUUCUGAGAGGAAGGUCCCCCACACUGGUACUGAGACACGGACCAGACUCCUACGGGAGGCAGCAGUGAGGAAUAUUGGUCAAUGGGAGAGAUCCUGAACCAGCCAAGCCGCGUGAGGGAAGACGGCCCUAUGGGUUGUAAACCUCUUUUGUCGGAGAACAAAACCCGGGACGUGUCCCGGACUGCGUGUAUCCGAAGAAAAAGCAUCGGCUAACUCCGUGCCAGCAGCCGCGAUAAUACGGAGGAUGCGAGCGUUAUCCGGAUUUAUUGGGUUUAAAGGGUGCGUAGGCGGUCCGUUAAGUCAGCGGUAAAAUUGCGGGGCUCAACCCCGUCGAGCCGUUGAAACUGGCAGACUUGAGUUGGCGAGAAGUACGCGGAAUGCGCGGUGUAGCGGUGAAAUGCAUAGAUAUCGCGCAGAACUCCGAUUGCGAAGGCAGCGUACCGGCGCCAGACUGACGCUGAGGCACGAAAGCGUGGGGAUCGAACAGGAUUAGAUACCCUGGUAGUCCACGCAGUAAACGAUGAAUGCUGGUUGUCCGGGUCGAAUGAGAUCUGG